AUUAGCUUCCGUUAUUGGUUCAUGAUGUGAUUUUAGUUUAGCAAUGUUUGUAUACUAUACAUUACGGCAGUAUAUUUUAGGUUCCAGUGGUGAUAUAUACAUCAUAAUGUGAACCAUAGGCAUUUGAAAGAGCAAGGAAACCUCGCUAAUGAGGCCGAGAAGUUAAUGCCAUCAUCACAUCAGGAGCUGCUGUAGAGAACAAGUACGGAGGGCUCAUGUCAAGAAACCACCUCUCAUUUUCACGGCAGGAUUAUGAGCAACUAUACUUUGACUCAGCUGGUUCUGCUCUUGAAAGUAAGCAAACCAGAUGGUGAUCAACGGGAAGGAAAUUGACUUUGAGGAGUUAAAGAGCUUGGCGUUUUCUCUCGGAAAUGCUAUUGUUUGCUGCUGCACGCUAUGCUUUGUAAAAGAGAACAUAUGUCAUCAAAUAUAGUUUUCUAUGUUAUAACUAAGUUUGUCAAUUCGUUUGUCAAUUUGUUUUGUAUUUCUAUACAUCGUUGUUAUAUGAGACUGAAGAUGGGUUGUUUCUUAACUUUUUA
Molecule: long non-coding RNA, 539 nt
Organism: Raphanus sativus (radish)
Lineage: Eukaryota; Viridiplantae; Streptophyta; Magnoliopsida; Brassicales; Brassicaceae
Exons: 4
Source: RefSeq, a predicted model, not a curated record